Molecule: unclassified non-coding RNA, 379 nt
Filed under: uncultured bacterium
Lineage: Bacteria
Description: contains 16S-23S intergenic spacer region
Source: RNAcentral
UCGCGGCUUAUCACCGGCAGUCCCCUUAGAGUGCUCAACUGAAUGUAGCAACUAAUGGCAAGGGUUGCGCUCGUUGCGGGACUUAACCCAACAUCUCACGACACGAGCUGACGACAGCCAUGCAGCACCUGCGUCCAGGUUCCCUUUCGGGCACCACUGCAUUUCUGCAGCGUUCCUGGCAUGUCAAGGGUAGGUAAGGUUUUUCGCGUUGCAUCGAAUUAAACCACAUGCUCCACCGCUUGUGCAGGCCCCCGUCAAUUCCUUUGAGUUUCAGCCUUGCGGCCGUACUCCCCAGGCGGGGCACUUAUCGCGUUAGCUACGGCACUGACGGGGUCGCUCCCCCCAGCACCUAGUGCCCAUCGUUUACGGCGUGGACUAC